Molecule: ribosomal RNA, 857 nt
Filed under: Penicillium restrictum
Lineage: Eukaryota; Fungi; Ascomycota; Eurotiomycetes; Eurotiales; Aspergillaceae
Description: LSU rRNA
Rfam family: Eukaryotic large subunit ribosomal RNA
Source: RNAcentral
UGAACUAGCAUAUCAUAGCGAGGAAAAGAACAACAGGAUUGCCCAGUACGGCGAGUGAGCGGCAAGAGCUCAAAUUGAAAGCUGGCCCCUCGGGUCCGCAUUGUAAUUUGCAGAGGAUGCUUCGGGAGUGGCCCCCAUCUAAGUGCUCUGGAACGGGCCGUCAUAGAGGGUGAGAAUCCCGUAUGGGAUGGGGUGUCCGCGACCAUGUGAAGCUCCUUCAACGAGUCGAGUUGUUUGGGAAUGCAGCUCUAAAUGGGUGGUAAAUUUCAUCUAAAGCUAAAUAUUGGCCGGAGACCGAUAGCGCACAAGUAGAGUGAUCGAAAGAUGAAAAGCACUUUGAAAAGAGAGUUAAAAAGCACGUGAAAUUGUUGAAAGGGAAGCGCUUGCGACCAGACUCGCCUGCGGGGUUCAGCCGGUAUUCGUACCGGUGUACUUCCCCGUGGGCGGGCCAGCGUCGGUUUGGGCGGCCGGUCAAAGGCCCUCGGAAUGUAACGCCUCUCGGGGCGUCUUAUAGCCGAGGGUGCCAUGCGGCCAGCCCGGACCGAGGAACGCGCUUCGGCACGGACGCUGGCAUAAUGGUCGUAAGCGACCCGUCUUGAAACACGGACCAAGGAGUCUAACAUCUACGCGAGUGUUCGGGUGUCAAACCCGUGCGCGCAGUGAAAGCGAACGGAGGUGGGAACCCUCACGGGUGCACCAUCGACCGAUCCUGAUGUCUUCGGAUGGAUUUGAGUAAGAGCGUAGCUGUUGGGACCCGAAAGAUGGUGAACUAUGCCUGAAUAGGGCGAAGCCAGAGGAAACUCUGGUGGAGGCUCGCAGCGGUUCUGACGUGCAAAUCGAUCGUCAAAUUUGGGUAU